AAUGAGAAUGCAAGUGGAAUCAUCACUGCCGGACGUGCAAAACGAUCAGCUUCACAGCCUGCGAAGCCCGGUGAUAGGUUCAGGAAGUUAAAGGAAGAAGAGAAGCGGAAAAAGUCAAGCAAGGCAUUAGCAGAUGAAGAGGUUCAGACUCUGGAUUCUGCAUCUCGUUCUGAUGAGGACUCCGAUGAAGAUGCUACAGACAAGGUUGAGGAAGUUCUUGAAGCAUCAUAUACCUCUAGUACAGACAAACAGGUUCCAGAUAUUUCUAGGCCAA
Molecule: unclassified non-coding RNA, 274 nt
Filed under: Hevea brasiliensis (rubber tree)
Lineage: Eukaryota; Viridiplantae; Streptophyta; Magnoliopsida; Malpighiales; Euphorbiaceae
Source: RNAcentral